Molecule: ribosomal RNA, 433 nt
Filed under: uncultured bacterium
Lineage: Bacteria
Description: partial 16S ribosomal RNA
Rfam family: Bacterial small subunit ribosomal RNA
Source: RNAcentral
AACGAACGCUGGCGGCAUGCCUAACACAUGCAAGUCGAACGAGACCUUCGGGUCUAGUGGCGCACGGGUGCGUAACGCGUGGGAAUCUGCCCUUGGGUUCGGAAUAACAGUUGGAAACGACUGCUAAUACCGGAUGAUGACGUAAGUCCAAAGAUUUAUCGCCCAAGGAUGAGCCCGCGUAGGAUUAGCUAGUUGGUGAGGUAAAGGCUCACCAAGGCGACGAUCCUUAGCUGGUCUGAGAGGAUGAUCAGCCACACUGGGACUGAGACACGGCCCAGACUCCUACGGGAGGCAGCAGUGGGGAAUAUUGGACAAUGGGCGAAAGCCUGAUCCAGCAAUGCCGCGCGAGUGAUGAAGGCCUUAGGGUUGUAAAGCUCUUUUACCCGGGAUGAUAAUGACAGUACCGGGAGAAUAAGCUCCGGCUAACUCCGUG